UGACCGCAUUUGGGGGACGAAUAGCUUCGGCUAAUCAUACUUGGCUGUUAUAAUUUAUUCUUUGUAUUUCUAUUGGAAAUAUUUUUAAUAUUUUAUGCAUUUAAUCCUUAUUUGUAGUAGGGUUAAUUAAUUUGCCAUUAAGGUAAUUUUAUUACCGUGGACAAGUAUGAGAUCGAUUUUAUCGAAUAAAGUUCUAGAUAGAAUACUGAUUAUGACAAUUUUCUAUCUAUAUGUCUUGACCAAAAUACGUGCCAGCAGUCGCGGCAAUACGUAAAAGACUAGUGUUAUUCAUCUUUAAUAGGUUUAAAGGGUACCUAGACGGUAUAAUUAGUCCUAAACAGGAUACGGUUAUGACUAGAGUUAUAUAUGAGGAGGUGAGUAUUUAUGGAGUAGAGUUGAAAUUUGUUGAUCCCCUAACGACUGGUAACGGCGAAAGCAACCUUUUAUCUAAUAACUGACGUUGAGGGACGAAGGCUCGGGUCGCGAACAGGAUUAGAUACCCUAGUAGUCCAAGCAGAUAAUUAUGAAUGCCAUGGAUUAGAUACUUUUUAAAAUAAAGUUAUUAUUUAGUCUAUAAAUGAAAGUGUAAGCAUUUCACCUCAAGAGUAAUGUGGCAACGCAGGAACUGAAAUCAUUAGACCGUUUCUGAAACCAGUAGUGAAGUAUGUUAUUUAAUUCGUCAGUACGCGAAAAACCUUACCACAAUUUGAAUAUUAUCUUAAUGAAAGCAUUAUUAGUAAAAUAGUUGUGUUAGUAGUGAGAUAUUACAAGCGUUGCACGGCUGUCUUCAGUUAAUGUCGUGAGAUAUUGGUUAAUUCCAUUAAAUUAACGGAAACCCUUGCUUUAUUUAUCUUUUAAGAAUAAAGCAGUACACCAUUACAACGGAGUUGUUAACAGGGACCAAGACAAGUCAUCAU
Molecule: ribosomal RNA, 917 nt
Filed under: Leotiomycetes sp. CBS 259.65
Lineage: Eukaryota; Fungi; Ascomycota; Leotiomycetes
Description: mitochondrial SSU rRNA
Rfam family: Bacterial small subunit ribosomal RNA (bases 133-917)
Source: RNAcentral